GCCGGUGUGGCUCAAUGGAAGAGCAGCUGAUUUGUAAUCAGCAGGUUGGGGGUUCGAUUCCCUUCGCCGGCUCCA
Molecule: transfer RNA, 75 nt
Filed under: Eubacteriales Family XIII. Incertae Sedis bacterium
Lineage: Bacteria; Bacillati; Bacillota; Clostridia; Peptostreptococcales; Anaerovoracaceae
Description: tRNA-Thr
Rfam family: tRNA
About the family: Transfer RNA (tRNA) molecules are approximately 80 nucleotides in length.
Source: RNAcentral